This 200-nucleotide unclassified non-coding RNA is filed under the name soil metagenome. RNAcentral's name for it is "partial contains internal transcribed spacer 2 and large subunit ribosomal RNA". The record is from RNAcentral.
UGUCCGAGCGUCAUUAGUCCAUCUCAAGCCUGGCUUGUCGUUGGGUUUUACCGCCUGGCGGUUGACCCGAAAGCUAAUGACGGGCCUUGUUAACCGUUGAUGCAGCGAGCUUUAUAGCACGCAUCUCCGGCCUUUCCGGGCCCGUCUCAACCAUCUCUUAGGUUGACCUCGGAUCAGACAGGGUUACCCGCUGAACUUAA